Molecule: unclassified non-coding RNA, 910 nt
Filed under: Hevea brasiliensis (rubber tree)
Lineage: Eukaryota; Viridiplantae; Streptophyta; Magnoliopsida; Malpighiales; Euphorbiaceae
Source: RNAcentral
CCUUUGAGAUUCUGGUAGUUCCUGAAAUUUUAAUAUUUAAUGCGUUAAUUAAUUUUCUGUUUUAGUAUAUAAAGAUAAAAUUUAAGGAAAAUUUUAAUUAAAAUAACUAAUAGAUUGUGACUUCAGGGGCUAUAGAUCUCUGAAAGGGAAAGAUAAAUACUAGAGCUAGAAGUCCACAUGACGAAAUUCGUUAAACAGUGAAAAUCUUUUUAUAAAAACCAGAGUUAGUGUUGUUUUGCUUUCAAACUUUGGAAAUUUUGUAAAAUUCAGUGUGUGUGUCUACACAGCUCGAGAGACUUUUCAAAAUUUGAAAGCGAGCUAUGGGAUAUAAAUCAUGCUAAGUUCCCAUUCCUCUGUUGGUUAAUUACUAUAGCCCAGCUAUUCAGGGCACCUGCCCUGCCCUACCCUUGAAGACUUCUGAUUUCUCAACCAACUUCCAACUGUACACUUUUUUCCGGAUGGAUGUGUAUAUCAUUUCAUUCUUAAACUAAUUCUUGCUGGACUUUAACUCGAGAUGGAUAUGUUAACGAAAAUCUAACAUUUUGGAUUCUAGCUAACUUUUCUCUUUCUUAUUUUUCUCAAUAUCUAUUAAAAUCGCCUCUCAGGUGUUAAAUCGAACAUAAAUUCAAUUAAAAAAAUUAAGAAAAUAAUUAAACUAAUAAUUUAAUGGUCGAAUUUCCUGCUAAAUCAGGGAAAAUUACUUUCCUCAACUAAUCACAAGGUCAAAUGAAGCCAUUGUUAGUUAACUUUUGAAGAAGAAUGAUAAUAAUGUUAUUGUUGAUCUAGUGAAAUUAAAUUGACGAUUAAUGUGUUCAAUUGCGAAAUCAAUUAAUUUCUAGACUAAAAUGAAGAAAAUGAUCAAUGAAGUUGUACCUGUAAGAACUUGAUGAUGUUGCUAGCACCGAACACG